Molecule: long non-coding RNA, 672 nt
Organism: Cyprinus carpio (common carp)
Lineage: Eukaryota; Metazoa; Chordata; Actinopteri; Cypriniformes; Cyprinidae
Source: Ensembl
AUGUCCAUGUUUCCAAGCCCUGACUGGUGCGCGCCAGAGUCCCUCAUCAUCUCAUGGUCAAUGUGUGUGAACAGACCUGCUGUCUGUGUGACUGUCAUGCUGCUGCUCGCAGCGGCCCACAGUAAACGUGCCUGUGAUUAUACUGCCAUCAUCAGCACCUACAGGGCUCUCAUCCUGGUUGAGCUCCAGAACCUGAAUCUGACUGGUGCAUUUGACAUAUCAAAAGAAAAGGACCACUGUCCUUCUGAGAAGGUUCACCGUAUCCUGCGAUAUAUCUAUAAUAUGACCCAGAUCUUCAGCUGCUUGAGUGACAGCAGAAGACAGGAGCAUGCCGAUCACAUGACGAAGGUGGUAGGACAGAUGGAGCUGCUCAUCACACGAAACUGCCGCAAACCAGAACGACUGUUAAAUAGACGGAAAAAAGCAUCUUGCAAACCAGGGAAGAAAGCAAAAGGAAGACAGCGGCGGAGAGUGAAAAUGAUGGGAAUGCUUAUAAACUGCUGGCAGAGGCUGCUGAGUGUGACCGCUUAUUAAAUUACAGCAUACACAGGUCUCAGUUCAGCUCCACUACACAUUAUUUAAAACAUUAUGCACAUUAACUUUCCCUUCAUUGUUAUUUAUUCACUUUCACUUUUUAAUAAAAAAAGAAACACCGAGUGUUUUUUAGAAAAC